AUGCUCACUUUGGAAACAUAUAUUCUAAAAGUGGAAACAUACAGAUAAAAUUAGCCUGGUCUCUGUUCAAGAAUGACAUGUAAAUUUGUGAAGCAUUCCAUUGCUCU
Molecule: small nuclear RNA, 107 nt
Organism: Apodemus sylvaticus (European woodmouse)
Lineage: Eukaryota; Metazoa; Chordata; Mammalia; Rodentia; Muridae
Source: RefSeq, a predicted model, not a curated record